GAACGCUGGCGGCAGGCCUAACACAUGCAAGUCGAGCGGUAGAGAGAAGCUUGCUUCUCUUGAGAGCGGCGGACGGGUGAGUAAUGCCUAGGAAUCUGCCUGGUAGUGGGGGAUAACGCUCGGAAACGGACGCUAAUACCGCAUACGUCCUACGGGAGAAAGCAGGGGACCUUCGGGCCUUGCGCUAUCAGAUGAGCCUAGGUCGGAUUAGCUAGUUGGUGAGGUAAUGGCUCACCAAGGCGACGAUCCGUAACUGGUCUGAGAGGAUGAUCAGUCACACUGGAACUGAGACACGGUCCAGACUCCUACGGGAGGCAGCAGUGGGGAAUAUUGGACAAUGGGCGAAAGCCUGAUCCAGCCAUGCCGCGUGUGUGAAGAAGGUCUUCGGAUUGUAAAGCACUUUAAGUUGGGAGGAAGGGCAUUAACCUAAUACGUUGGUGUCUUGACGUUACCGACAGAAUAAGCACCGGCUAACUCUGUGCCAGCAGCCGCGGUAAUACAGAGGGUGCAAGCGUUAAUCGGAAUUACUGGGCGUAAAGCGCGCGUAGGUGGUUUGUUAAGUUGGAUGUGAAAUCCCCGGGCUCAACCUGGGAACUGCAUUUAAAACUGACAAGCUAGAGUAUGGUAGAGGGUGGUGGAAUUUCCUGUGUAGCGGUGAAAUGCGUAGAUAUAGGAAGGAACACCAGUGGCGAAGGCGAC
Molecule: ribosomal RNA, 699 nt
Filed under: uncultured soil bacterium
Lineage: Bacteria
Description: bacterial SSU rRNA
Rfam family: Bacterial small subunit ribosomal RNA
Source: RNAcentral